RNAcentral lists this long non-coding RNA (2410 nucleotides) under Triticum aestivum (bread wheat). Its description in RNAcentral is "long non-coding RNA (TAES_LNC024902)". Lineage: Eukaryota; Viridiplantae; Streptophyta; Magnoliopsida; Poales; Poaceae. The record is from RNAcentral.
AUAAAGCUACAUGGUGGACGCUAAUUGUCAUAUUUUGACCGACAAAUCUGUUUGAAUAGAUUAUACAAGAUUGAUGUGAUUAUCAGAUGAUUGCAGUCUACCCCAGGGUGAGUUUAUCCUUUUGGUUUAUGCAAAAAUGCUUAUUUGGCUUCAUGUGUAACAUGAUUUUUUAGCAUCUAAUAUUUGUUCUGUCCAACAGAGUACACGAGAAAGAAGUGCUACUGCUACAUUACUGCUGCUUGCCAAGGGAAAAGAGAGUUCCAUUGUAAAAUGAGAUGCCAGGUAUUGAGGGCUAGACUGUACAUGGCAAAGAUUAAUUUGUUAUGGUGAAGCCAAAGCUUUAGUGUUUGAGUCAUUGGGUGUCAUCUUUGUUAACUUAUUGUUAAGCAUAUCUACUAUGUACUUUGUCCCACAUAAAUGAUUGAGAAAAACUCUGCUUUUUAUGACAUCAUGACUCACUGUCAUUUCUAAAUAUUUGAAUCUUAUAUUGAUGUUUCGACCGUGGAUGCCAAAACAUCACAGUUUGCCUGAUAGAGUGAAUCCAUUAUAAAAUAAAGCUCCUUCCAUCAAUUAGAUAGAUUUUAUGAAUUUGAUUUUUCUAUUUUGAAGAUGCAUAUUGGUUAUUUGGAUGCUUUCGUUUAAAGAUUUGCAUAGAUCAAUGAGGAUUCGUGCGGCAGGGAGGGGACUGGUGAUAGGAAACAUGGGUCCAAGAAGAAAUCAAAGAGCAUGGUGAGUUGUUCUCCCUUUUGAAAUUUAAAACCUAGACUAGAAUCAGUCAAUUGUAAUUUGGCAAUAUGAUUAGGAUAGCAUAAUAUUUUGCUACUACCUUGCUAAUAGCUUCGCGAGGUAAUUAUGUCAGCUAUAUAUGUGUUUAUUUUUUACUGUAGUGAGAUCGCUUAUUUUAAUUUAGAAAAUAGAAACAUGAAGUGUGGUUAUGAGAAUCUAAUAACAGAUGUUCUUAGCAUGAACAAGCUCUGUAAUGUACCUACUGACUAAUAGCACAAUCGAAUCCUUCCUGAGCUUCGUCAGCCAGUCAUGACUUGGCAUGCCUGGUUUUACUUUACGAAGAGUAGUAUGUGGUGCUCUAAUAUUCAACCGUGUUCUUGAAUUGGGAAUUAUGUUUAUAAUAGUUGAAGUGCUUGUGUUUUAGUCUGUUGUAUACAAGUGAAAGAAAAUAAAAAACGGAUGGAGGAAGGGAACUUCUGCUUUUCUUUUCCUUUUGUUUCUCUGUUUGAUAAUUACUCCCUGUGAUGGGAAGGUUUGAGAAUAGAAACGUCCUACUCUUUUAUCCCUUUUAGUGUGAACGGCUCGACGGCAAGCGUGGCUAUCUGCUCCUCACUCUAUUGGUUGUGUCUCUGUCUUCCCCGUGCGCUGCGCCACACGCCUAUUUGUGGCUUGCGUGCUGCUGCUGCGUUUAUGGUGUGUUGUCUUGAUGUGUGUGUGUGUGCACUAGCUAAGCGACGAUCACUGGCUCACUUCUCUCUCUCUCUCUGUCUCUCUGUAGCUUCUUAGGGAAAACAUACUUUUCCUCUCGCCUGGAUCAUGCUUCUAGCAUCUUUCUAGGCAGGUAGAUGUUUCCAAGAUCAAGAGAGAAAAGGUUCUUGCAUGUAUAUACUUUUAGGUGACACAUGACCAGAAGUCUUUCCUAUGAAAAUCAUGUGGUCUUGUGACGCCCCGACCCUUUUCUUCAGAAAUUUGCGAUGUGUUUAUGCAUGUCUGUGUUGUGAUGUGCUCAUGUGCAUAUGAGCAUGAUUUGUUCUGGCACUUUAGGCAUUAGCACACCUAUAAUACCAUUUUCUAAUAUCUGACAUUUGUAUAUUUAUAUUGGCUGCGCCUAGCUUUUGGGAUAUAAUUUUGAAGGGUAUUCUUCCCAUAUGAUCAGUUCUGCGACAUGCACUCAUUUUUACUGCGAUGAAUGGUGUCUAAGUCUCCCUCUCUCUCACCCUCUCUGUGUGCCACUCUCUCUGAGAUUUGAAGGUAAGUUAUUAUUUCCUGUUAUCAAUCAUGGGGAUGUUACGAUUUCUAUUUAUUUCUGCGGUGGCCAAUAAAAUCUGACAAGAAGUUGUUAUCCACCUCCUUCCAUGAUGGCGAACCUCCAACUAUUGUUUCUUUUCCGGUAGGAUAUGCAUUUGAUCCAAUCCAUGUCUUGGCUUCUUUUUGAUGUGUGUAUUGCUAUGUUCUUCUUCCAGGUAUUGUUCAAUCCAUCAGUAGCUAGCGGAUGUCGUGCCGUGAUUAAGAUUUGCCACCUUCCUUUGCUACAUCGCUUAGUUUUAUGGGCCAUUCUUAGAAUACUAUGUGCUUGCUCUUUUUGGCUGUGGCAUGUGAAUAUGAUGCUUACCAACAUUAUUGUAGAAUUAGUUUCUCGGUGAUGUAAAACUUAUAGCUAUUAAAGGAAGCCCUUGGUUUGUAU